UCCAAAAGUUUCUCUUAUUUGGUAUUCACUUGAUUAGUGGAUGAUCUCAGGCAGCUCAGAUGGCAAUGCCUGCAACCAGCUUCCCACCAUCCUCGCCUCUGAUUCAUCGGAGGGUGAAGAGGCAGUUGGAUCGUAUUGCCAUCUGAUCUGACUAGUUUAUAGCCUGAAAAACACUAAAGGAGUUUUCCUGCUUUUUUCUUUUCUUGCACUAUCUCAGUUUGU
Molecule: long non-coding RNA, 222 nt
Filed under: Brachypodium distachyon (stiff brome)
Lineage: Eukaryota; Viridiplantae; Streptophyta; Magnoliopsida; Poales; Poaceae
Description: long non-coding RNA (BDIS_LNC001649)
Source: RNAcentral